CACCUACUGGAAUCGUACUCUGGGGCGCGUAAUCAGAGAGGGGCGUGGCAUGAUUGCAGGAACAUUCAGCUGUGACGAAGGCUGCUAAAUGUGAUUGAGGAUGGAGCUUAAAAUAUUUUAUAAAUGUUAAUGGAAUUUCAAUAUCACUUCUUGAAGUGGGUUCGAGGCAGUGGCGCUGCUGGAGGCGGUGCCAGUGCUGGUGGCGCGAAGAUAGAGUGAUGCCUAUGAGGC
This 231-nucleotide unclassified non-coding RNA is filed under the name Hevea brasiliensis (rubber tree). The record is from RNAcentral. Lineage: Eukaryota; Viridiplantae; Streptophyta; Magnoliopsida; Malpighiales; Euphorbiaceae.